UGCAGUCGAACGGAUCCUUCGGGAUUAGUGGCAGACGGGUGAGUAACGCGUGGGAAGCUACCUUGUGGUAGGGGACAACAGUUGGAAACGACUGCUAAUACCCUAUGAGCCCUAUGGGGGAAAGAUUUAUCGCCAUGAGAUGUGCCCGCGUUAGAUUAGCUAGUUGGUAAGGUAAUGGCUUACCAAGGCGACGAUCUAUAGCUGGUCUGAGAGGAUGAUCAGCCACACUGGGACUGAGACACGGCCCAGACUCCUACGGGAGGCAGCAGUGGGGAAUAUUGGACAAUGGGGGCAACCCUGAUCCAGCCAUGCCGCGUGUGUGAUGACGGCCUUAGGGUUGUAAAGCACUUUCAGCAGUGAAGAUAAUGACAUUAACUGCAGAAGAAGCCCCGGCUAACUUCGUGCCAGCAGCCGCGGUAAUACGAAGGGGGCUAGCGUUGUUCGGAAUCACUGGGCGUAAAGAGUACGUAGGCGGACUGAUAAGUUAGGGGUGAAAUCCCAAGGCUCAACCUUGGAACUGCCUUUGAUACUGUCAGUCUUGAGAUCGAGAGAGGUGAGUGGAACUCCGAGUGUAGAGGUGAAAUUCGUAGAUAUUCGGAAGAACACCAGUGGCGAANNCGGCUCACUGGCUCGAUACUGACGCUGAGGUACGAAAGCGUGGGGAGCAAACAGGAUUANNUACCCUGGUAGUCCACGCCGUAAACGAUG
Molecule: ribosomal RNA, 708 nt
Filed under: bacterium 20A3
Lineage: Bacteria
Description: bacterial SSU rRNA
Rfam family: Bacterial small subunit ribosomal RNA
Source: RNAcentral